RNAcentral lists this ribosomal RNA (465 nucleotides) under uncultured bacterium. RNAcentral's name for it is "partial 16S ribosomal RNA". It matches the Rfam family "Bacterial small subunit ribosomal RNA", at positions 28 to 507 of the family's 1533-position model. The record is from RNAcentral.
GACGAACGCUGGCGGCGUGCUUAACACAUGCAAGUCGAACGGAAAGGCCCCUUUGGGGGUCCUCGAGUGGCGAACGGGUGAGUAACACGUGAGUAACCUGCCCUUGACUUCGGGAUAACUUCAGGAAACUGGGGCUAAUACCGGAAAGGAAUCCUUGCUGCAUGGUGGGGGUUGGAAAGCUCCGGGGGUUUUGGAUGGAUUUGCGGCGUAUCAGAUUGUUGGUGGGGUAGUGGCUUACCAAGGCUUUGAGGGGAAGCCGGCCUGUGAGGGCGACAGGCGACAUUGGGACUGAGAGGCGGCCCAGACGCCGACGGGAGGCAGCAGUGGGGAAGAUUGCACAAGGGGCGGAAGCCGGAUGCAGCAACGCCGCGGGCGGGAUGACGGCCUUCGGGUUGAAAACCGAUUUCAGCAGGGGCGAAGCUUGUGGUGACGGUACCUGCAGAAGAAGCACCGGCUAACUACGUG